UGCAAGACUGACAGUUGAUUUCGCGAGGAGUCGGCCGCUACAUGGUAAAUUUUCGUCUCGUAUCCGCGUGUUUGACUGACUGGCGAACCUGUUGCAUUUUCACGGUCAGCCUAGCCUAGCUACCGGUAUUCGAGUGCAGUGACUUUGGUGGUAAUUAGUAUGUUUUAAAUAAUGUCAGACUCGCAGGAAUUUGAAAAUAAGAUGGACGUUAACGCAUCUAGUACUUCCGUGACUCCAAGAACACCUCCGAAUUGCGCUAGGUGUCGGAAUCACCGAAAAAAAGUCGCGCUAAAGGGACAUAAGCGCUAUUGUCCAUAUCGCUUGUGCAAGUGCGAAAAGUGCAGGUUAACCACAGAACGACAACGAGUUAUGGCUAUGCAGACAGCGCUCAGAAGAGCACAAGCUCAGGACGAGGCCAUGUUAAGGAGCACUUCCACAAAUCCAGACGACAUGAAUAUGAUUCCUUUGGCUCAACACAGCCCACCUCAAAUUACCUCCAUGAAGCGACACGUAGACUGUGAUUCUUCCGAUUCAGAUCAACCUCCAUGUAAGCUAGUGAAGAUGACAUCUACUCCUUUAGCGCAACAAAGUCCUCCUAUUAUAAGUCCAUUAAAACGGCGUUUACCAGAUUGUGAUUAUUCUUCUUCCUCUCAUUGUGCUGAUCAAAACUCCAAUAAGGCCAUGAAGUUAACUCCAAACAGUGAAAUUCCUUCCACCACUGUUAACAUCAGUUCAAUGAGCGAGUGUCACUCAUCUUAUUCUGAAUUUAAUAGAGAACACCAAAGUUCAGACCUUCUAGAAGACUGCCAAAAAUUACUAGAAAGGUUUAAGUACCCCUGGGAAAUGAUGCCGUUAAUGUAUGCCAUCCUCAAAGAUGCGAGGGCGGAUCUGGAAGAGGCAUCACGGAGAAUAGAUGAAGGAAAGAGGGUGGUGAAUGAAUACUCAAGAAUACACAACUUGAAUAUGUACGAUGGCGUGGAGCUUCGAAAUUCGACCCAUCUGAAGACAACCACUCAAGACCGAAGAACUCCAUUCAACAACCCAACGUUCAAGUCGGUGAAUCUGCAGUUUAAAUGCAACGUUCUCAUCUAAUCUUCAAAGUUCAACCGCCAAAACCUUAUUUAUUUUUGACAAAAAGCCUACCUGUUUUUUAUGUUUCUAAUUUUUUGCUAAGUUAAGUUAAAAAGACUCUAAAUAUACUCUUUGUGUGGCUAGAAGACAUAGAUGUCUGAAGUAUUAACGUAUUAACUAGCCUUAAAACUUUUUUCGUCAUUAUUCAAGUAGUCAUAUUUGAAAUAGAUCUCUUAGGCUAUGUGUAAUAUAACUUCGUGAAUAAGCAAGUGCAAUUUUGAAGAAUUUGGAAAACAUAUUGAAUAUUCAACUUUUGUAGAUGGUCAGACCAUAGAAACUCUUCUAAACUUAUGUC
This 1426-nucleotide unclassified non-coding RNA is filed under the name Diabrotica virgifera virgifera (western corn rootworm). RNAcentral describes it as "protein doublesex". Lineage: Eukaryota; Metazoa; Arthropoda; Insecta; Coleoptera; Chrysomelidae. The record is from RNAcentral.